GAGGACGUAGCUCAAGUGGUAGAGCACAUGCUUAGCAUGCACAAGGUCCUGGGUUCAAUCCCCAGCACCCCCA
Molecule: transfer RNA, 73 nt
Filed under: Camelus bactrianus (Bactrian camel)
Lineage: Eukaryota; Metazoa; Chordata; Mammalia; Artiodactyla; Camelidae
Also listed under: 1 other name
Rfam family: tRNA
About the family: Transfer RNA (tRNA) molecules are approximately 80 nucleotides in length. Their secondary structure includes four short double-helical elements and three loops (D, anti-codon, and T loops). Further hydrogen bonds mediate the characteristic L-shaped molecular structure. tRNAs have two regions of fundamental functional importance: the anti-codon, which is responsible for specific mRNA codon recognition, and the 3' end, to which the tRNAs corresponding amino acid is attached (by aminoacyl-tRNA synthetases). tRNAs cope with the degeneracy of the genetic code in two manners: having more than one tRNA (with a specific anti-codon) for a particular amino acid; and 'wobble' base-pairing, i.e. permitting non-standard base-pairing at the 3rd anti-codon position.
Source: Rfam by way of RNAcentral